AGUACGUACUUAGCAUAAUAUUAUGUACAAUAUACAGCGUGAUAUAUUCUUUGAUUGAACGCAAACAUCACAAUAUUAUUAUCUACCAAUAAACAUGUAAUUAUAUGGUUAUUGGUUACACUCAUUAAUUUGCGGUAUUAUACAUUCGUGUAGCGUUGCUUGCAGCCAUCGUGCAGACAUGCAGUGUUCAAAAACUAUUAGAUGGUGUUUCGUGCUUAUAGCUGUUCUGUUCAUUUUAACAUUUGUUGUUUGUUUAAAAUUUUCCGACCAUUUUGAGUUUACCCUUUAAUCCGUUUUAACAUCAAAAACUAGCGUACAAAUUCGACGGAAAGACUAAAAUAUUUUUCUCGGCCGAACGUACCAACAUGUCAUGUAUAGAUAUAAUAACUGCAUUUAGUAUAAUUAUGAAUACAUUUCUGAGAUAAUAAUACGUACCCACCAUAUAUCGUACGCAAACGGAUUGACGAUGGAAAUUUCAUUUUAAACAUAUAGUACGUUUAUGCAUGAUCACGUAAAACGACUAAGGUGUGCAGACAGCAUAUUAUAAUAUAUAAUACAGUUGAAUAUACACACAUCAGUACAUCAUCAUCGCAUGAUGGUUAUCACUUGCGACCGAGUUGAAAAACUGCAGAAAUUUAUGCCGUGGCCAUAAAUGGUGUCGUCGAUGACGGGAUCGAAGGUGAUGAGUAAUGAUAACCUUUAUAUUUCCAGCGUGACCUGUGGAUCCGCAGUAUUCAACAUUUAUGCAUCGCCAAAUUUGAUCACGAUAGCCGAACAACCAUCAAAAUAUCAAUAAUAGUGUAUAAUAAACAGUUAUAAUUGGUACAAUUAGAAACGGAUCAAUGAGCUAUGAGGGUUUUAGAUUCUAUUAUUAUAAUAAAUAUGUAUUAAUGUAUUAUUAAUUUAUAUUAACCUAUUUUUGAACAUUAAAA
Long non-coding RNA from Melanaphis sacchari, 932 nucleotides. RefSeq lists it as uncharacterized. Lineage: Eukaryota; Metazoa; Arthropoda; Insecta; Hemiptera; Aphididae. The record is from RefSeq and is a predicted model, not a curated record. The transcript has 4 exons.